CUGCGAUAGCUUAACACAUGCAGUCGAGGGGCAGCAUGGUCAUACCUGUCGCUCAUGCCUAUGGAGACCGGCAUAGGGGAGCGUAGCUCGUAUGUCACGUGCCUUUGAGAGGAGGACUACCCGGAAAAGUCCCGCCUACUACCUCGUGUUCUCAAGAUUGCUGCGUGGCACCUUGAGGACACAUGUCUUGCUCUGAGCCCGGCAUGCAUUCCGUUAUGUAGUUGGUGACGUCUCAGCUCACCCACCCAUACUCAUGCAUGUGCGGAGCAUGAUAAGCUGACCCCCCGCACCGUGAACACGAGACCCAGACCCCACUCCUAGGCGACGCUGCGGUAAUAGAAUAUUGUGCGAUGGAACGCUACUCCGACCCAUGCCACGUCGCGUGAAGAAAGACUGCUCCUAUGGAUUGUACACUUCUUUACUAGGAGAGACAAAUGUCUGGCACGUGUGCCCGUUUGCCUGUAACCUCAGAAUAAGCAUCGGCUAACUCCGUGCCAGCAGCCGCGGUAAU
This 511-nucleotide ribosomal RNA is filed under the name uncultured bacterium. RNAcentral's name for it is "bacterial SSU rRNA". It matches the Rfam family "Bacterial small subunit ribosomal RNA", at positions 39 to 524 of the family's 1533-position model. The record is from RNAcentral.